CUGCAGCCAAUUAAGCCGACCAUCCCCCUCUCCCUGUGGGGGCCCGGUGUGUAGUAGCAGGCUCCUUGGUAGUGUACACAGCCUGUUGCUUGUAUGGGUUGCCCUUGGAGAUGGCC
Molecule: small nucleolar RNA, 116 nt
Filed under: Dasypus novemcinctus (nine-banded armadillo)
Lineage: Eukaryota; Metazoa; Chordata; Mammalia; Cingulata; Dasypodidae
Description: Small nucleolar RNA SNORA70 (ENSDNOG00000029750.1)
Rfam family: Small nucleolar RNA SNORA70
About the family: snoRNA U70 seems to be exclusive to mammals and is a member of the H/ACA class of snoRNA which contain H (ANANNA) and ACA box motifs. H/ACA box snoRNAs are involved in the conversion of uridines to pseudouridines (5-ribosyluracil) a constituent of structural RNAs (transfer, ribosomal, small nuclear, and small nucleolar).
Source: RNAcentral